Long non-coding RNA from Esox lucius (northern pike), 1852 nucleotides. The record is from Ensembl. Lineage: Eukaryota; Metazoa; Chordata; Actinopteri; Esociformes; Esocidae.
GCCUACCCUACAGUGACUGAUUGGGCUGCGAUCCACAGUUGUGUACUGCGAUCCCUGGAAGACUAUAGAGACAGGUUAGAGAAGUGUUUCAGAAAAUACAGUGGCCUGAACAGCUCUGAGAACUAUAAUAGCCUGCUAAAGGCCUCCAGCCUGCUUUGAGCCAAACUGUAAAACUCACUUGCAUUGGGUGGGAGACAGUACCUCUACAGACUGUGAUUGAACAUUGUAAACAUGCGGAACGGCAGCAGCAGUCUGCUGAUAAUAAGGCUACAUCCAAACAAGAAAAGGAAAACACCAAGCUCCAGGCUGCUCAGCUCAUGUAUUAUCAGGGACAAGGUCAGCAAUUCGGCGGAAAGGGGGGAGGAACUGGUGGUUCUCGGAAGAUUGGAAAAAAUCAGGAGGGAGGACGAGGGAGAGGUGGACAGGGACGGAGCGGGGACCAGACAAGAGAUCAGUCAUGUUACAAUUGCGGUAAAUAUGGUACAUUUUAUAGAAGGUGCCCUGAACCGAAGGGACAGGAAGUUGUGGGUGGUGGAUGGCAGACGGGACCAUCACACAAUGUCACACUCAAUAAACCUAAGGAUGACUGAAGUGUAGCGGAGACAGCUGACAAAUCUUCGCAGAAACAGUUCCUUAAGAGAUUUACUAAGUCCAAAGAUACCCCUUGUGUUACCCUUCUGAUCGAAGGGUGAAAGCAGCCCUGCCUGAGCCAAAAGGAGGACCACCACAAAAGAUCCAACCAGGCGACUGGGUUGUCGUGAGGGACUUCCGUAGAAAGUACUGGCAUCAACAUAGGUGGUUGGGACCAUACCAGGUGCUACUGAUCUCCCAGACGGCUGUGAAGGUUGCUGAGAGACCUAUGUGGGUCCACGCCAGCCACUGCAGGAAGGUGCCAUACAAACCUGAUGACGAUGUAUCAGCUAAUGCCAGGACGACGACCACCACAAUGGCCAUGGAGUAGCGAGGAAGGCUUACUGAAGGUCACGUUCAUUGCCUUCAUCGUCAGUAUUGCUGUUUCCGACCAUGGAGGCUGUGGGGAACCACAGAGAACAUUGAGGGAACAACAGCAGCAACAUAGUCCAACGACAGGACUUAAAUAAAAGCUGCCUCAGUGCGAGCCCACGGCGGGCUCAAGACUGGAAUCUAGAAAAUAACAGCCGAACUGCAUGAUUGGGCAACAGCCCACGGGAAUGGCUGGUGGAUGCUGAUGAACCACAAGCUGUUCUCCCACUUCACCUCAGUUGCACUGACACUGACCAAGACAACAGGCACAUGAAUGUUAUGCGGUUGUACAGGGGAUCAAUGUGAAGGACAUGGAUGACAACUGUAGCAAAACCAAGUAAACAUGACUAUUUUUAUAAUCAUUGCUUGCUGAAGUUCUUUUUGUGACUGUAACACAAAUAAUAAAGUAUUUGUCACCUCCCAUUCCUUAGGAUAUGGGAAAAAGUGUUUAUGCAUUGUUAAAAGUGAGUUGAUUGUUUUAUAUUUAAUCAAUAUUGGUUUAAUGAUGAUUAAUGGUUGGAGACAGAUUUUUUGGAUAAUAAUCUGUUGCUCUUGCUGGAAUGUAUGAUGUACUUUCUACAGUUUUGUUUAUUCAUUAGUAGUACUGUUUGCUGAUAUCAAAUACUUAUUUCACUCAUUAAUAAAAAUGUUGUAUUUCACAAUGUAUUUCACAAUCUGCUCAGUUACUGGGAUUUUUACGCACAACCAUUUCUAGGGUUUACAAAGAAUGGUGUGAAAAUGGAAAAACAUCCAGUAUGCGGCAGUCCUGAGGGCGAAAAUGCCUUGUUGAUGCUAGAGGUCAGAGGAGAAUGGGCCGACUGAUUCAAGCUGAUAGAAGAGCAACUUUGAC